Molecule: ribosomal RNA, 253 nt
Filed under: uncultured bacterium
Lineage: Bacteria
Description: partial 16S ribosomal RNA
Rfam family: Bacterial small subunit ribosomal RNA
Source: RNAcentral
UACAGAGGGUGCGAGCGUUGUCCGGAAUCACUGGGCGUAAAGGGCGCGUAGGCGGGCGGGCAAGUCGGAGGUGAAAGCCCCCAGCUCAACUGGGGAAGUGCCCUCGAUACUGCCGGCCUGGAGGGAGGUAGGGGCGUGCGGAACUUCCGGUGGAGCGGUGAAAUGCGCAGAUAUUGGAUGGAACACCAGUGGCGAAGGCGGCUAACUGGCUCGGUAUUGACGCUGAGGCACGAAAGCGUGGGUAGCAAACAGG